RNAcentral lists this ribosomal RNA (461 nucleotides) under uncultured bacterium. RNAcentral describes it as "partial 16S ribosomal RNA". It matches the Rfam family "Bacterial small subunit ribosomal RNA", at positions 43 to 523 of the family's 1533-position model. The record is from RNAcentral.
CAUGCCUAACACAUGCAAGUCGAACGGUAAGGCUUCCUUCGGGAAGUACACGAGUGGCGAACGGGUGAGUAACACGUGGGUAACCUACCCUUGACUGGGGGACAACCGAGGGAAACUUCGGCUAAUACCGCAUAACGUGCAUUGCCUCAAGGUGGUGUACCAAAGCUCCGGCGGUUAAGGAUGGGCCCGCGGCAGAUUAGCUUGUUGGUGAGGUAACGGCUUACCAAGGCGACGAUCUGUAGCUGGUCUGAGAGGACGAUCAGCCACACUGGAACUGAGACACGGUCCAGACUCCUACGGGAGGCAGCAGUGGGGAAUAUUGGACAAUGGGCGCAAGCCUGAUCCAGCCAUGCCGCGUGAGUGAUGAAGGCCCUAGGGUUAUAAAGCUCUUUCACCGGUGAAGAUAAUGACGGUAACCGGAGAAGAAGCCCCGGCUAACUUCGUGCCAGCCGCCGCGGUAA